GCGCGGUUAGCUCAGUGGUAGAGCACAUGCUUCACACGCAUGGGGUCACUGGUUCGAACCCAGUACUGCGUACCA
RNAcentral lists this transfer RNA (75 nucleotides) under Akkermansia sp. NBRC 115031. RNAcentral describes it as "tRNA-Val". It matches the Rfam family "tRNA". From Rfam's summary of the family: Transfer RNA (tRNA) molecules are approximately 80 nucleotides in length. Their secondary structure includes four short double-helical elements and three loops (D, anti-codon, and T loops). The record is from RNAcentral. Lineage: Bacteria; Pseudomonadati; Verrucomicrobiota; Verrucomicrobiia; Verrucomicrobiales; Akkermansiaceae.